This 384-nucleotide ribosomal RNA is filed under the name Triticum aestivum (bread wheat). RNAcentral describes it as "partial small subunit ribosomal RNA". Lineage: Eukaryota; Viridiplantae; Streptophyta; Magnoliopsida; Poales; Poaceae. The record is from RNAcentral.
AUGGCGGCGAGACCCCUGCUUCUGCUCGCCCUCCUCCUCGCCACCACGGCCCUCGCGGUCGCAGCCACCGGCCGCGGCGGCGCGGAGGCCGUCGGGAUGCCAGGCGGGUGGUUCCCCAUCCCGGACGUGGAGGACGCGCGCAUCCAGGAGCUCGGCGGGUGGGCAGUGGCGCGGCACGCGGGCCUGGUGGCGGGCGACCGCGGGCUGAGGUUCGGCCGGGUGACGCGCGGCGAGCAGCAGGUCGUCUCCGGGAUGAACUACCGCCUCCUCGUCGACGUGGCGGACGGCUCCGGCAGGGCCGCGCCCUACAUCGUUGUGGUGUACGAGCAGUCCUGGACCAACACCCGCCGGCUCACCUCCUUCAGCCCGGCGGCCUGCGGCUAG